RNAcentral lists this microRNA (21 nucleotides) under Parasteatoda tepidariorum (common house spider). Its description in RNAcentral is "pte-miR-34-3p". Its record names the gene pte-miR-34-3p. The record is from miRBase by way of RNAcentral. Lineage: Eukaryota; Metazoa; Arthropoda; Arachnida; Araneae; Theridiidae.
AACCACUAUCUUCUCUGCCCU